AUCAGAAUGCCGCGGUGAAUACGUUCCCGGGUCUUGUACACACCGCCCGUCACACCAUGGGAGUCGGAAAUGCCCGAAGUCUGUGACCCAACCUACGGGAGGGAGCAGCCGAAGGCAGGUCGGAUGACUGGGGUGAAGUCGUAACAAGGUAGC
Molecule: ribosomal RNA, 153 nt
Filed under: uncultured bacterium
Lineage: Bacteria
Description: partial 16S ribosomal RNA
Rfam family: Bacterial small subunit ribosomal RNA
Source: RNAcentral